Pelobates cultripes (western spadefoot toad) is the source of this 369-nucleotide non-coding RNA. The record is from the annotation of a GenBank genome assembly. NCBI's taxonomy places the organism in Eukaryota, Metazoa, Chordata, Amphibia, Anura, Pelobatidae.
CAGGUCUGUACAUAGACGAUCUAGUGAGUGCAACAUGAUGAGGAUGUCGUCCAGAUAAAUGAUCAGGCGUACUCCUCAUUCUCGUAGGGAUGACACCACUCGUUUCAUCAAUUUGGUAAAGCACCAUGGAGCAGAAGAGAGUCCGAAUGGAAGAUAGGUAAACCUCCAUCUCCUUCCACUCCAUGUGAAGUGGAGCAGGUCUCUGUGCCCCACUGCGAUAGGUACUGUCAAGUAAGCAUCCUUCAAGUCCAAUUUGGUCAUCCAAUCCGAGGGCAGAGGGAGGUCUCUUAGACAGUGGAUGCCCUCCAUUUUGAAAUGCUGGUACCUGAUGAACGUAUUCAGGGUCCAUAAGUUGAUAACCGGUCGGAC